CGCGUAGGCGGUUGGAUAAGUCAGCUGUGAAAACCACGAGCUCAACUUGUGGCCUGCAGUUGAGACUGUCUGGCUAGAGUGUGGGAGAGGGAAGUGGAAUUCCUGGUGUAGCGGUGAAAUGCGUAGAUAUCAGGAGGAACACCGGUGGCGAAGGCGGCUUCCUGGACCACAACUGACGCUGAGGCGCGAAAGCUAGGGGAGCAAACA
Molecule: ribosomal RNA, 207 nt
Filed under: uncultured bacterium
Lineage: Bacteria
Description: partial 16S ribosomal RNA
Rfam family: Bacterial small subunit ribosomal RNA
Source: RNAcentral